CACCACGCUAUGGACCACACUACUCAUUCCAGAGACUGGCAGCUGUUUGAGCCACCAGAAGUAAGACCAGGGGGUGGUCAAAGACAGGAGGAUGGAAAAACAAUGGACAUAUGAUUGAAUAGCAAACUUAAAAUAAUAGUAACAGAGUUUGAAAUGGAAGUCCUCCUCUUAUCAUUAAGACUCUUAUAUUUUUCUCUUUAGUUGGUCAAAGUGAGUGAAUUUGAGAAAAUACCAUGUAGAUUAAGCAGGAUAAUGCAAACUGAAGACAGAUUACGACAAAUGACAAGAGGUGCCAAAGUGUUUGGAUUUCCAUUACUUGGAUUCAAGAAGGGCAUGGUGAUGCACACCUGUGAUCCUAGCUACUUGGGAAAUUGAGGCAGGAGAGCGCUUGAGUUCUGGAGUUCAGGACAAGCCUGGGCAACAGAGUCAGACCCAGUCUCUUAAACAAAAACAAAACAAAAAGACAAAAUGAAGACUUGGACUCAAUUCUAUGUCUUAGGGGGAAAAGGAGAGAGAGGAACAUAAUGUAAAUGGGGUAGAUGAUUCCACUUGCCUUUGCACCUGCUGAAUGAGCAAGAGAUGAGAGAUGGAAACCCCAGGAGUCCUCUGGUGGUCUCAGUUCUUAUGUGCUUCCCAUCUGAGCAUCUCUCUGCAGCAUGGGUGAUUCAAAUGUUUAAUGAGACAAUUUUCAUACGACAUGGCCACUAAAAGCAAGCUGACAACUUCAUCUGAUGCUCAAUCAGAAAAAGAACUGGGGGAAAUGGAAUUAUAAGCCUUCCUAAUGGAUUUUUUCCCCAAGAGUAAUUUUGGCUUUGUAUGAUUUUUGCCUCCACUGCUGACCCUGGAACUCAAUUUCCACAAAAGACGUAACUUCACUGGAAUACCCAGCCCAUGGUUGGCACUAGACAAAUAUUGGUUAAAUAAGCGAAUAUGUGGAUAUUUGAACAAAGUGGUAGGGGACCCUGUUUCUAGAAUAUUCAAUGGCUUUGCUAAAAUGCCUUUGAGGAUUUCCCUGGCUAUCAUAUGUUUAUAUGUAUCCUUCCACUUUCAUAAAUACUUAUAGUUAUCACCCAAGCUGAGUAUUAAAGGCUGACCUUUGUAAAUAUUUAAGUAUUUGAAUUAUAAUACUGAGUGGUCUGUUUUGUAGUUGCUCAUCUUUGGGUUUAAAAUAAAAUUUAAUCAGUCACUGAAAUGAAUAAAUUCAAGAGCAGUUGUUAAACACAUAUAUUUUAGAAAUGGUCUACAUAGAAAUUCAGUAUGUGAGGUAGAAAGAGCACUAGAAUGGGAGCCAUUCCAAGCUCCCUGUUGAACCUUCAAGUUGAUUGACCUUGGGAAAGAUGUAGCCCUUCUACCCUCACUUUUCUCUUCUGUAAAGUGAG
Molecule: long non-coding RNA, 1379 nt
Filed under: Marmota monax (woodchuck)
Lineage: Eukaryota; Metazoa; Chordata; Mammalia; Rodentia; Sciuridae
Source: RNAcentral